RNAcentral lists this ribosomal RNA (450 nucleotides) under uncultured bacterium. RNAcentral describes it as "bacterial SSU rRNA". It matches the Rfam family "Bacterial small subunit ribosomal RNA", at positions 354 to 796 of the family's 1533-position model. The record is from RNAcentral.
GUGGGGAAUCUUCCGCAAUGGACGAAAGUCUGACGGAGCAACGCCGCGUGAGUGAUGAAGGCCUUCGGGUUGUAAAACUCUGUUGUCAGGGACGAACGUGCCGAUCUACAAUACAUUUCGGCAGUGACGGUACCUGACGAGGAAGCCACGGCUAACUACGUGCCAGCAGCCGCGGUAAUACGUAGGUGGCAAGCGUUGUCCGGAAUUAUUGGGCGUAAAGAGCAUGUAGGCGGGCUUUUAAGUCCGACGUGAAAAUGCGGGGCUUAACCCCGUAUGGCGUUGGAUACUGGAAGUCUUGAGUGCAGGAGAGGAAAGGGGAAUUCCCAGUGUAGCGGUGAAAUGCGUAGAUAUUGGGAGGAACACCAGUGGCGAAGGCGCCUUUCUGGACUGUGUCUGACGCUGAGAUGCGAAAGCCAGGGUAGCAAACGGGAUUAGAAACCCGAGUAGUCC